UACGGAGGAUGCAAGCGUUAUCCGGAUUUAUUGGGUUUAAAGGGUGCGCAGGCGGUGCCUUAAGUCAGCGGUGAAAUGUCCCGGCUCAACCGGGGAGCUGCCGUUGAUACUGGGGUGCUGGAGUGCGGACGGCGCCGGCGGAAUGUGUCAUGUAGCGGUGAAAUGCAUAGAUAUGACACAGAACACCGAUCGCGAAGGCAGCUGGCGAGGCCGUAACUGACGCUGAGGCACGAAAGCGUGGGGAUCAAAC
This 250-nucleotide ribosomal RNA is filed under the name uncultured prokaryote. RNAcentral's name for it is "partial 16S ribosomal RNA". It matches the Rfam family "Bacterial small subunit ribosomal RNA", at positions 524 to 773 of the family's 1533-position model. The record is from RNAcentral.